UCUAGAACUCAAGAUAUGGGCUGAACACUGAACAGUGUCUGGGCUGCAGGACAAAUUCGGACUUCUUCGUUGUUGCUAUAAUUUAGACUUGAAAACGACCUUGUUAAAUCUUAGACUCCUCAUGAAAGUUGUAGGCCUAUGUCUUACCUUUCCAUC
Non-coding RNA from Populus trichocarpa (black cottonwood), 156 nucleotides. NCBI's taxonomy places the organism in Eukaryota, Viridiplantae, Streptophyta, Magnoliopsida, Malpighiales, Salicaceae. The record is from Rfam.